This 1064-nucleotide long non-coding RNA is filed under the name Triticum aestivum (bread wheat). RNAcentral describes it as "long non-coding RNA (TAES_LNC013051)". Lineage: Eukaryota; Viridiplantae; Streptophyta; Magnoliopsida; Poales; Poaceae. The record is from RNAcentral.
AGGGAUUAAGAUGUGCAGACAACGUGGCUGCUCAGAGUAACUGUCCCAGGGCGGUUGACAACCAGGCAGCGCAGAGACAUUGUCUCAGGAUAGCAUGUUUGAGUAAGUUUUUUCAUAGUUUUCUCAAACACUUGUCUGCCAUUAUUUUAGAAGUAAGAGUGUUGAUUUUGUUACCUCCUGUUCUUAUGAAAAAAUAGUAAAAUCCUGAGAAUUAUUCCUGGUCUUAAUACAUCAGCUCGUUUAUUGGUUAUGGGUGUUGGAGGAGAUAGAUCAGGCAGAACUACAACCCGAGGUUGUGCAGGUUUGGGGAUACCUCUUGCCAAGGUUAUAUCAUUUAAAGUUUGGCGAAAGACAAAAAUAUAUAAUAGGCAAAUAAAGCUUAGUUCAUCACUAAAAUAAUUAUGAAUGUCAAUGCAGUAAAGCUAUGAUGUAUGCUGUCAAUAACAUUUUAUAACUCUUUGGUAACAUCACUGAAACUAUUGAUUUGUCUUCUCUAAUUUAUUACAGUUAGCUUUGUUUCAGGUUGGGUGUUAAUAGAAAACAUUCAUUAUUUGCAUCAGCUAUAAGUUUACAUUAUGCAAAUGACAGUAACAAAAAUAGUAUGACACAAAUUCAGGUGAUGACCAACUAAGGAGAGGUUGUUGAUGAGAUCAAUGACACCAGAGGGGUGGACAGGCAGCUGCAAAGCAUCCGAGGAGCAGCCGGUGAACAAGAGGAGCAAAGACAACAUCUCUUGGGUCACUAUAAACAUCUGCUGCUAGCAGAGGUUCAGCCGGUGAACAGGAGGAGCUUCAGCUCCGUCAUCGUAAACUUCAAAUGUUGGCCGAGCUUCAACCUCUAGCCCGUCAAGUGUACAAUUGGUUCAAUGCUAGAUUGGUUUUACAAUUUUCUGUUGUUAUUCGUACAAUAGUGUUUAAUCUGGUUCGGAAUAAUCCGCCACCCAAGGGGAUCAAGGUCUCUAAAAUAUUGUUGUUUGUUCAAAUAUUGUUUGUUUUGUUAUUGCAAAUUCCUAACUUAUAUGUGCAUGUUCAUCAGCAAUUAGAGAAAAAAGGGGUGGAAGGAUC